This is a long non-coding RNA of Pristis pectinata (smalltooth sawfish), 956 nucleotides long. RefSeq lists it as uncharacterized. The record is from RefSeq and is a predicted model, not a curated record. The transcript is spliced from 3 exons. NCBI's taxonomy places the organism in Eukaryota, Metazoa, Chordata, Chondrichthyes, Rhinopristiformes, Pristidae.
GUCUUCUUUGGUAAAAACUGACGUGAACUCACGGUGCUUCAUCCAUGCUCAUCUACAUCAGAAGGAAAUUAAACAAAUCCCUGAAGGGAAGCUAACUGAAUGGGGUCCAUAUCAAAGUGCCAGCUCAGGCAAAGUGAGCCAAGUGGGCUUCUCCUGUCCUUCAUUAUUCUAUAUCAGAAAAGACUCCUUCAGACACUUUAUAAAAUACCAAUGGAGGAAAUUGCAAGGAAACCAAGCCAAGGAAACCAAUUUUAUGCGACUGUAACCAUAUUUAAGGCAAUAUUACAUGCUCUCUUUUAUUAUUAUCGUUGAAGAAUUGUGCCCGGCACAAGAAGAAAUCAUGCUGGUUCAUUGGGGGGUGGAAAGAAGGUUUUAAAUUGAACCAAUAUUUACCUUCCUGCUUUUUCUCAUAAUCCCAAGUCAUGACAAAAUUAAAUGGAAAAACUUGACCAAAGGUAAAAAUGAUGAAAUUCCAUUUUACAUAUAAUUAAUAAAGUGUAGCGACUCACUGUCCGAGCAAGCGAACCGGCUCGGCAGUCAGGUCGCGGGUCGUCGAAGUGGCGAGGCCCAAGAUGGCAUUGGGUCUUCGUCUUCCCCGAGUGACAGGGAGAACCCGCACGCGGGAAAGGUUUGAUGAUGUAGCGUAUACGUCAUUUCUGUUUUCGGUGGGCAGGAACAGUCUUUCUUAAAAGGCCCGUGCAAGGUGGGAAAAUAAACCAGUUCUUGCUCGGAAACCCAUCGACUAGUGUCUUGUUUUCACAUCGUGGUAGCAGCCGCCACAUUGGUGACCCUGACAGUCCAAACUGAUUUUGGACCUGCACAAUGGAUGACAGCGCAGCAGCCAAUGCAGUGGCAUUCAAGCUGCCCACCUUUUGGACGCUUCAUCCCAGCGUCUGGUUCGACCAGGCCGAAGCACAAUUCUACCUUCGGCAGACCACCUCCAACGCCACAAAGUA